GAUGAACGCUGGCGGCGUGCCUAAUACAUGCAAGUCGAGCGAACAGACGAGGAGCUUGCUCCUCUUACGUUAGCGGCGGACGGGUGAGUAACACGUGUAUAACCUACCUAUAAGACUGGGAUAACUUCGGGAAACCGGAGCUAAUACCGGAUAAUAUAUUGAACCGCAUGGUUCAAUAGUUAAAGACGGUUUUGCUGUCACUUAUAGAUGGUUCCGCGCCGCAUUAGCUAGUUGGUAAGGUAACGGCUUACCAAGGCGACGAUGCUUAGCCGACCUGAGAGGGUGAUCGGCCACACUGGAACUGAGACACGGUCCAGACUCCUACGGGAGGCAGCAGUGGGGAAUCUUGCGCAAUGGGCGAAAGCCUGACGGAGCAACGCCGCGUGAGUGAAGAAGGUCUUCGGAUCGUAAAACUCUGUUAUUAGGGAAGAACAAAUGUGUAAGUAAAUAUGCACGUAUUGACGGUACCUAAUCAGAAAGCAACGGCUAACUACGUG
RNAcentral lists this ribosomal RNA (497 nucleotides) under uncultured bacterium. RNAcentral describes it as "partial 16S ribosomal RNA". It matches the Rfam family "Bacterial small subunit ribosomal RNA", at positions 28 to 507 of the family's 1533-position model. The record is from RNAcentral.